RNAcentral lists this ribosomal RNA (790 nucleotides) under uncultured bacterium. Its description in RNAcentral is "bacterial SSU rRNA". It matches the Rfam family "Bacterial small subunit ribosomal RNA", at positions 8 to 796 of the family's 1533-position model. The record is from RNAcentral.
AGAGUUUGAUCAUGGCUCAGAUUGAACGCUGGCGGCAUGCCUUACACAUGCAAGUCGAACGCGAAAGGGGGCAACCCCGAGUAGAGUGGCGAACGGGUGAGCAAUACAUCGGAACACGUCCUGUAGCGGGGGACAACCCCGAGAAAUCGGGGCUAAUACCGCAUACGAUCUACGGAUGAAAGUGGGGGACCGCAAGGCCCCACACUAUAGGAGUGGCCGAUGCCGGAUUAGCUAGUUGGUGGGGUAAAAGCCUACCAAGGCGACGAUCCGUAGCUGGUUUGAGAGAACGACCAGCCACACUGGGACUGAGACACGGCCCAGACUCCUACGGGAGGCAGCAGUGGGGAAUUUUGGACAAUGGGCGAAAGCCUGAUCCAGCCAUGCCGCGUGAGUGAAGAAGGCCUUCGGGUUGUAAAGCUCUUUCGGCGGGGACGAAAUAGCGCGGGGUAAUAUCCCGCGUCGAUGACGGUACCCGAAGAAGAAGGACCGGCUAACUACGUGCCAGCAGCCGCGGUAAUACGUAGGGUCCAAGCGUUAAUCGGAAUUACUGGGCGUAAAGCGUGAGUAGGCGGUUUCGCAAGUCCGAUGUGAAAUCCCCGGGCUUAACCUGGGAACUGCGUUGGAAACUACGAAGCUAGAGUGCGGCAGAGGGGGGUGGAAUUCCAGGUGUAGCAGUGAAAUGCGUAGAGAUCUGGAGGAACACCGAUGGCGAAGGCAGCCCCCUGGGUUAGCACUGACGCUCAUACACGAAAGCGUGGGGAGCAAACAGGAUUAGAUACCCUAGUAGUCC